RNAcentral lists this non-coding RNA (179 nucleotides) under Chryseobacterium sp. Lineage: Bacteria; Pseudomonadati; Bacteroidota; Flavobacteriia; Flavobacteriales; Weeksellaceae. The record is from RNAcentral.
UAUAUUUGCAAAAAAUUUGGUUUCCAAGGUAUUGGAAUUAAUAGGGAAUUGGGCGAAAAUCCCAAGCUGUCCCCGCAACUGUAAAUCGUAUUAAGAUUUUCUGCAAAAAAAGCCACUGCGAAAGCGGGAAGGCGUAGAAAAACGAAAGUCAGGAGACCUGCCAGAUUUUAACAUUAAUA